RNAcentral lists this ribosomal RNA (497 nucleotides) under uncultured bacterium. RNAcentral's name for it is "partial 16S ribosomal RNA". It matches the Rfam family "Bacterial small subunit ribosomal RNA", at positions 28 to 507 of the family's 1533-position model. The record is from RNAcentral.
GAUGAACGCUGGCGGCGUGCCUAAUACAUGCAAGUCGAGCGAACGGACGAGAAGCUUGCUUCUCUGAUGUUAGCGGCGGACGGGUGAGUAACACGUGGAUAACCUACCUAUAAGACUGGGAUAACUUCGGGAAACCGGCGCUAAUACCGGAUAAUAUUUUGAACCGCAUGGUUCAAAAGUGAAAGUCGGUCUUUCUGUCACUUAUAGAUGGAUCCGCGCUGCAUUAGCUAGUUGGUAGGGUAACGGCUUACCAAGGCAACGAUGCAUAUCCGACCUGAGAGAGGGAUCGGCCACACUGGAACUGAAACACGGUCCAGACUCCUACGGGAGGCAGCAGUAGGGAAUCGUCCGCAAUGGGCGAAAGCCUGACGGAGCAACGCCGCGUGAGUGAUGAAGAUCUUCGGAUCGUAAAACUCUGUUAUUAGGGAAGAACAUAUGUGUAAGUAACUGUGCACAUCUUGACGGUACCUAAUCAGAAAGCCACGGCUAACUACGUG